Molecule: ribosomal RNA, 468 nt
Filed under: uncultured Glomus
Lineage: Eukaryota; Fungi; Glomeromycota; Glomeromycetes; Glomerales; Glomeraceae
Description: SSU rRNA
Rfam family: Eukaryotic small subunit ribosomal RNA
Source: RNAcentral
UUCCAGUCCAAUAGCGUAUAUUAAAGUUGUUGCAGUUAAAAAGCUCGUAGUUGAAUUUCGGGGUUAGUAGGCUGGUCAUGCCUCCGGUAUGUACUGGUCUCACUGAUUCCUCCUUCCUGAUGAACCGUAAUGCCAUUAAUUUGGUGUUGCGGGGAAUUUGGACUGUUACUUUGAAAAAAUUAGAGUGUUUAAAGCAGGCUAACGCUUGAAUACAUUAGCAUGGAAUAAUGAAAUAGGACGUUCGAUCCUAUUUUGUUGGUUUCUAGGAUUGACGUAAUGAUUAAUAGGGAUAGUUGGGGGCAUUAGUAUUCAAUUGUCAGAGGUGAAAUUCUUGGAUUUAUUGAAGACUAACUACUGCGAAAGCAUUUGCCAAGGAUGUUUUCAUUAAUCAAGAACGAAAGUUAGGGGAUCGAAGACGAUCAGAUACCGUCGUAGUCUUAACCAUAAACUAUGCCGACUAGGGAUCGG